This 83-nucleotide transfer RNA is filed under the name SAR324 cluster bacterium. RNAcentral's name for it is "tRNA-Leu". It matches the Rfam family "tRNA". Rfam says of the family: Transfer RNA (tRNA) molecules are approximately 80 nucleotides in length. Their secondary structure includes four short double-helical elements and three loops (D, anti-codon, and T loops). Lineage: Bacteria; Deltaproteobacteria. The record is from RNAcentral.
GGCUCUGUGGCGGAAUUGGUAGACGCGCACGACUCAAAAUCGUGUGGGCAUUGCCCGUCUCGGUUCGAUCCCGAGCAGAGCCA